RNAcentral lists this ribosomal RNA (383 nucleotides) under uncultured bacterium. RNAcentral describes it as "bacterial SSU rRNA". It matches the Rfam family "Bacterial small subunit ribosomal RNA", at positions 8 to 393 of the family's 1533-position model. The record is from RNAcentral.
AGAGUUUGAUCCUGGCUCAGAUUGAACGCUGGCGGAAUGCUUUACACAUGCAAGUCGAGCGGCAGCGCGGGGGCAACCCUGGCGGCGAGCGGCGAACGGGUGAGUAAUGUAUCGGAACGUACCCAGUCGUGGGGGAUAACUAUCCGAAAGGAUAGCUAAUACCGCAUACGUCCUGAGGGAGAAAGCGGGGGAUCGCAAGACCUCGCGCGAUUGGAGCGGCCGAUAUCGGAUUAGCUAGUUGGUGAGGUAAAGGCUCACCAAGGCGACGAUCCGUAGCUGGUCUGAGAGGACGACCAGCCACACUGGAACUGAGACACGGUCCAGACUCCUACGGGAGGCAGCAGUGGGGAAUUUUGGACAAUGGGGGCAACCCUGAUCCAGCC